This 408-nucleotide ribosomal RNA is filed under the name uncultured Acidobacterium sp. Its description in RNAcentral is "bacterial SSU rRNA". It matches the Rfam family "Bacterial small subunit ribosomal RNA", at positions 979 to 1393 of the family's 1533-position model. Lineage: Bacteria; Pseudomonadati; Acidobacteriota; Terriglobia; Terriglobales; Acidobacteriaceae. The record is from RNAcentral.
GCUUCUUUGAAUGGCUGCAGAGAUGUGCCUUUUCGCUUGAACUGCUACAGAGGUGCUGCAUGGCUGUCGUCAGCUCGUGUCGUGAGAUGUUGGGUUAAGUCCCGCAACGAGCGCAACCCUUACCUCUAGUUGCCAGCGAGUCAUGUCGGGAACUCUAGAGGGACUGCCCGGGUUAACCGGGAGGAAGGGGGGGAUGAUGUCAAGUCCUCAUGGCCCUUAUGUCCAGGGCUACACACGUGCUACAAUGGGCGAUACAAACCGUUGCGAGAUCGCGAGAUGGAGCCAAUCGGAGAAAGUCGCCCUCAGUUCGGAUUGUAGUCUGCAACUCGACUGCAUGAAGGUGGAAUCGCUAGUAAUCGUGUAUCACAAUGAUACGGUGAAUACGUUCCCGGGUCUUGUACACACCGA